Molecule: long non-coding RNA, 227 nt
Filed under: Malus domestica (apple)
Lineage: Eukaryota; Viridiplantae; Streptophyta; Magnoliopsida; Rosales; Rosaceae
Description: long non-coding RNA (MDOM_LNC012381)
Source: RNAcentral
UUCAUAUGAGGAAGUAAGUACCAUCUGCUUUCGCAGAGAUCUACAUUUGAUUCACGUUUCCGAAUGUGAAGCACUUUCUCUUCUCUCAUUAAUCUUCUACUUCUUAUUAGCCACACUUUUACAACGAUUGUAAAACAUAGUUGCUAAUACGAAAUCAAGCAUUCAAGUAGAAGAACCAACUGUUUUGAACUUUUCAAGAACAAUUUACAACACCUUCGAAAGGUGUG